This 993-nucleotide long non-coding RNA is filed under the name Heterocephalus glaber (naked mole-rat). RNAcentral's name for it is "lncRNA (ENSHGLG00100035527.1)". The record is from RNAcentral. Lineage: Eukaryota; Metazoa; Chordata; Mammalia; Rodentia; Bathyergidae.
GAAGCAGGGUGAUGUGUGAAGUGUCCAGAGGACAGGCUGGGGAGCAUGUGGGGUCCCUCGAGCCCCUGGAGCACCAGGCCAACUCUGAACAAGAGGGGGCAGCCUCCUGAAGGGUCAGGAGCAGCGGGGUGGGAACAGCAGCAAGCCAUGAAAGUUUUCAAAGCCACCGUCCUCUCAUCCUCAGCUAGCACAGAACUUCACAGGAGCAAACAGCAGCCAAAUACACCCAAGAAGUCACGUGGAGACAUCUAUGAGCUUCCGUCCAGUCCACCCAGCCCAUAAGAGUACCUACAACCGAUGUCUUCAUCAGCUACAGCACCAUGCACAAACCUCUGCCCAGAGACCAGAAUACCACCAGGACAUGAUGCUCUUGGACCUCAUGGAAAGCAAUCUCAUCCAGUGGUACAGUUAAAGGGAGAAAAAGACUGUGGUCUAACAUUCAAGAAUCAUGCUGGGCCCCUGCCUCUGGGACACACAGACUGGGACUCUCUUGGGAUUCUCAAGAAGCAGGUGGCAAGACAAAGGAGGAGGCUUUCUGAGUCUUCCAUGAUUGCUGGAUGGACCAGCUUUGGGGACACAGUUGGCUGGAGACCCUUGUCAGGAGCCAGAGACCCCAGCCAUGCCUGUGUCAUCCUCCUCCUUUCCAACUGUCUUUUCCCUCUGCUAAGGUAAUAUUCUUAAUUGUUCAUUUUCCAGGAUGGAAACUUUAAUAUCUUCAUUUAAUCCUUCCAUGACUGGUAGGAGGAGGCUGAGUGGGCUUGGAGACCCAAAUCUGCACCCUCUGGGAUGGCAUGAGGAGCUUUCUGAAGAAAGAGACAGGGGCAGGUGAGUGGCCAUGGGCCCCUGACACCUGGGUCCCACUUCUGGUCUCUCUUCUAUCAGGACUGUCGAACACUCCCAUUCUCCCCUCUUUUACUGAGUCUAGAAAGUUGAAAACAGAAACAACACAUUGAUUUCCUCUGAUGCUAUUUCCAGGCUUCAUUUAAAUCAUAC